GCCUCAGUAGCUCAGUUAGCAGAGCAAUUGAUUCGUAAUCAAUAGGUCAUGGGUGCAAAUCCCAUCUGAGGCU
Molecule: transfer RNA, 73 nt
Filed under: Nanobdellota archaeon
Lineage: Archaea; Nanobdellati; Nanobdellota
Description: tRNA-Thr
Rfam family: tRNA
About the family: Transfer RNA (tRNA) molecules are approximately 80 nucleotides in length. Their secondary structure includes four short double-helical elements and three loops (D, anti-codon, and T loops).
Source: RNAcentral